This is a long non-coding RNA of Venturia canescens, 871 nucleotides long. RefSeq lists it as uncharacterized. The transcript has 2 exons. The record is from RefSeq and is a predicted model, not a curated record. Lineage: Eukaryota; Metazoa; Arthropoda; Insecta; Hymenoptera; Ichneumonidae.
AAUUGUCAUGAUUACAAAGUUGUUGAAUAAUAAUUCGAUUAAAAUAAUCAUGCGGGUCAUUCUGCAAUAACGAGUAUUAUUUACGAUUGUGGAACACGAGCCUUGAUUUCGCAGAAUAACAAAUUAGCGAUUUUAUCCAGCAGGCCAACAGAAACCACCGCAAUGAGUAAUCAUCAUGUUGUUUUUGAAAAAUAUGAAACAAAUUUUUCCACCGUUAAAAUAUAUCUUCGGAAAUUAAAAACAAAAAAUCUCUGUAGCAAUACUUUUUACCGACGGAUUUGCCGAGUUAUACAUUCGUUAGAAGAAUUGAUUAUGGAAAAAUUGAUGUUCAUGGUUGCGGUGACGUCAUGAACAUAAAUUGAUCAAUUAGAUCGAUUUUGCGAUUAAUUCUUUCCGUCUCGUAUUUAGCUAACCGUUGUCAGUCGCAGACUUGAUUCAGACGAAUACCGAUCGGCGGUCUGUCAAAGUACAGAGACGAAAAAAAGACGGACAUCAGGGAAAAAAUGAGUCGAAUUACACAAAUUCAAUCAAUGAUGCACCUGGAAUUCAUCGAAGCACAGUAACCAUGCGUCCUCUAUAAUGACCGAAGCUACAGGAGGAAUAGGAUCGAAAGGUUGAAGCUUCGUGCUGUGCGGGUCUCGAGUAACACCUUUUUUUACUUCAUGUAUUCUGCUGUGAACGUCCAGCAUAAAUUCGUUGAAAUGGACUCGUUUUUUGUUCUUUAUCUAGACAGAGAAAAACAAAUGAAAUAUUUUUAAGUCAUAUUGAAAUUAUUUAAUGAAAAAAACCCAUUUGUACUGCAUAUGGAAAGCCAUUUUGAAAAUGAUUAAAAACUAUUCUAUGAAAUUAGAAUAAAAAAUAACGAAAAUGA